UGAGGAAUAUUGGUCAAUGGGCGGGAGCCUGAACCAGCCAAGCCGCGUGAGGGAUGAAGGCCCUAUGGGUCGUAAACCUCUUUUGUCAGGGAACAAAAGCGAGUAUGUAUACUAGUCUGAGUGUACCUGAAGAAAAACGCAUCGGCUAACUCCGUGCCAGCAGCCGCGGUAAUACGGAGGAUGCGAGCGUUAUCCGGAUUUAUUGGGUUUAAAGGGUGCGUAGGCGGCGGUGCAAGUCAGCGGUAAAAGCCCGGGGCUCAACCCCGGCGAGCCGUUGAAACUGCAGUGCUAGAGAAGGCGAGAGGUACGCGGAAUGCGCAGUGUAGCGGUGAAAUGCUUAGAUAUUGCGCAGAACUCCGAUUGCGAAGGCAGCGUACUGGCGCCUGACUGACGCUGAGGCACGAAAGCGUGGGAUCGAACAGGAUUAGAUACC
Molecule: ribosomal RNA, 433 nt
Filed under: uncultured bacterium
Lineage: Bacteria
Description: bacterial SSU rRNA
Rfam family: Bacterial small subunit ribosomal RNA
Source: RNAcentral